Molecule: ribosomal RNA, 163 nt
Filed under: Mycobacterium celatum
Lineage: Bacteria; Bacillati; Actinomycetota; Actinomycetes; Mycobacteriales; Mycobacteriaceae
Description: partial 16S ribosomal RNA
Source: RNAcentral
ACGUCGCGCUGCGGCGGGUCCGCAACGCGACGGCAUCCCUGAGGAAUACCUCGGCAUUCGAGGAUGUUCCACCUGUCCGCUCUGUCAGAUCGCGGCAAUCGCCGCGGGCUGGUUGCGCGGCCGCUGGGAUGGGUGUUGUUUGAGAACUCAAUAGUGUGUGUUU